AUAUUUUGGGAGUUUUUUGGGAAUUCUCUGGGAAUGUUUUGGGAAUUCUCUGGAGAAUUUUUUGGGGAAUUUUUUUGGGAAUCUGGGAAUUUUUUGGGAAUUUUUUGGGAACAUUUUGGGAACAUUUUGGGAAUUCUCUGUUAAUUUUUGGGAAUUCCCAGGCUACGAGCUGUCCAAGCUGGAGAGCACCGUGGGCUCCCCGGAGAAGCCGCUCUCGGACCUGGGCAAGCUCAGCUACCGCAGUUACUGGUCCUGGGUGCUGCUGGAGAUCCUCAGGGACUUCCGGGGGACCCUCUCCAUCAAGGACCUCAGGUGGGACCAGUACAAACCAGUUCAAACCAGUUCAAACCAGUAUAAACCAGUACAGAGCAAAAAAUCCCCAUAGAAAUCCAUGGAAAUCCAUGGAAACCAGUAUAAACCAGUAUAAACCAGUGACCCCUUCGGGUUCCUCAGGGACUUCCGGGGGACCCUCUCCAUCAAGGACCUCAGUCAGAUGACCAGCAUUACUCAGACUGACAUCAUCAGCACCCUGCAGUCCCUGAACAUGGUGAAGUACUGGAAGGGGCAGCACGUCAUCUGCGUCACCCCCAAACUGGUGGAGGAGCAUCUCAAGAGCGCCCAGUACAAGAAACCACCCAUCACCGGUCAGUAAUUAACGCUCCUCGUUAAUUAACCCUCGCUAAUUAACACCCCUUCUUCAUUAACCCCCGCUAAUUAACAUCCCCUCCUUAAUUAACGCACCCCUCGGGGAUUAACUGCCGUUAAUUGGCGCUCCUCAGUGAUUAAACGCCGUUAAUUAGCGCCCCUCAGUGGUUAAACACCAAUAAUUAACGCCCCUUCUUCGUUAAUCCCCACUAAUUAACACCCCUUGGUGGUUAAACGCCGUUAAUUAGCGCCCCUCGGUGGUUAACUGACGUUAAUUAGCCCCCCUUGGUCGUUAAACGCCAUUAAUUAGCACCCCUCCUUAAUUAACCCACGCUAAUUAGUGCCCCUUCUCCGUUAAUCCCCGCUAAUUAGCGCCCCCUCCUUAAUUAACGCACCCCUCCAGGAUUAACUGCCGUUAAUUGGCGCUCCUCAGUGAUUAAACGCUGUUAAUUAGCGCUCCUCGGUGAUUAAACGCCAUUAAUUAGCGCCCCUCGGUGGUUAACUGACAUUAAUUAACACCCCUUCUUCAUUAACCCACGCUAAUUAACACCCCCUCCUUAAUUAACGCACCCCUCGGGGAUUAACUGCUGUUAAUUGGCGCUCCUCAGUGAUUAAACGCCAUUAAUUAGCGCCUCUUGGUCGUUAAACGCCGUUAAUUAGCGACCCUCGGUGGUUAACUGACGUUAAUUAGCGCUCCUCCUUAAUUAACCCACGCUAAUUAGUGCCCCUUCUUCAUUAAUCCACGCUAAUUAACACCCCCUCCUUAAUUAACGCGCCCCUCGGGGAUUAACUGCCGCUAAUUGGCGCUCCUCAGUGAUUAAACGCCGUUAAUUAGCACCCCCUCGGUGAUUA
RNAcentral lists this long non-coding RNA (1497 nucleotides) under Parus major (Great Tit). RNAcentral describes it as "lncRNA (ENSPMJG00000003130.1)". The record is from RNAcentral. Lineage: Eukaryota; Metazoa; Chordata; Aves; Passeriformes; Paridae.